Molecule: long non-coding RNA, 762 nt
Filed under: Astyanax mexicanus (Mexican tetra)
Lineage: Eukaryota; Metazoa; Chordata; Actinopteri; Characiformes; Acestrorhamphidae
Description: lncRNA (ENSAMXG00005007108.1)
Source: RNAcentral
ACUCUUGUGUUUGGUGUUCGGCUGCAGUGUGCGAUCCAUGAAUGCCACAAUAAUGUGGGACAUUAAAACUGUUAAUUAAAUCUGCAGUUCAAGACCCUGGCUUCAGUCCUGACUCAGCCAGUCAACAGCAGAGCUAGGUUUUCUUUCUGUCAGAAUUUAAAACUUCACGCUGGAGAACCGCAGUGGAGCACAGAAGCAGAUGGAGCCUCCAAACAGUGUCAUACACACUUACUACCAGGGCGACAUCAACACUGUGGUGGAUGAACACUUCUUCCGCGCUCUGAAUAAAACCAGCAUGCCGAAAGACCUGAGCACCAAGAGCAGGGAGAACCGCAGAGCACCAAAACCGGAUUUUCCUGCACAGUCCUCAUUUUCUCCAUCCUGGUCCAGAAGUGGGUUAUAUCCAGGUUCCUCCUCCAGCCUGAACAUCUCUUCCUCUGCUGAAGAACCAGCCAUGUCUCAGGGGGUCAUCAUUGGUCCACUGUCAGCUGACUCAUGGGUUUACCCCAGUAGGCAGGGGGCCGGUUAUGAUCUGCCCCCACUUCACCACCAACCUGCGAUGCCCUCCAGGGACAACACCUCCUUUCUUCACCUUCUGCACAUGGAGCGCUCUGAGGGGGAUGGACUGAUCGCACCCUCCACCAAAACAGACAUGCAGUUGGAGUGGACCACUGGGACUGCCGGCCACAGAGACAGACACAGAGGGAUGCACCUACUGGAAAAAAGUAAGGAUUUGUACUGGUUCUGAGAACGACACUUUCA